GACGAACGCUGGCGGCGUGCUUAACACAUGCAAGUCGAACGGAAAGGCCCUGCUUUUGUGGGGUGCUCGAGUGGCGAACGGGUGAGUAACACGUGAGUAACCUGCCCUUGACUUUGGGAUAACUUCAGGAAACUGGGGCUAAUACCGGAUAGGAGCUCCUGCUGCAUGGUGGGGGUUGGAAAGUUUCGGCGGUUGGGGAUGGACUCGCGGCUUAUCAGCUUGUUGGUGGGGUAGUGGCUUACCAAGGCUUUGACGGGUAGCCGGCCUGAGAGGGUGACCGGCCACAUUGGGACUGAGAUACGGCCCAGACUCCUACGGGAGGAAGCAGGGGGGAAUAUUGCACAAUGGGCGGAAGCCUGAUGCAGCAACGCCGCGUGCGGGAUGACGGCCUUCGGGUUGUAAACCGCUUUCGCCUGUGACGAAGCGUGAGUGACGGUAAGGGGUAAAGAAGCACCGGCUAACUACG
RNAcentral lists this ribosomal RNA (466 nucleotides) under uncultured bacterium. RNAcentral describes it as "partial 16S ribosomal RNA". It matches the Rfam family "Bacterial small subunit ribosomal RNA", at positions 28 to 505 of the family's 1533-position model. The record is from RNAcentral.